GGGCCCGUAGCUCAGUGGAUAGAGCCAGCGACUUCUAAUCGCUUGGUCGGGGGUUCGAUUCCCUCCGGGCCCGCCA
This 76-nucleotide transfer RNA is filed under the name Pseudomonadota bacterium. RNAcentral's name for it is "tRNA-Arg". It matches the Rfam family "tRNA". Rfam says of the family: Transfer RNA (tRNA) molecules are approximately 80 nucleotides in length. Their secondary structure includes four short double-helical elements and three loops (D, anti-codon, and T loops). Further hydrogen bonds mediate the characteristic L-shaped molecular structure. tRNAs have two regions of fundamental functional importance: the anti-codon, which is responsible for specific mRNA codon recognition, and the 3' end, to which the tRNAs corresponding amino acid is attached (by aminoacyl-tRNA synthetases). tRNAs cope with the degeneracy of the genetic code in two manners: having more than one tRNA (with a specific anti-codon) for a particular amino acid; and 'wobble' base-pairing, i.e. permitting non-standard base-pairing at the 3rd anti-codon position. RNAcentral also lists the same sequence under 1 other name. Lineage: Bacteria; Pseudomonadati; Pseudomonadota. The record is from RNAcentral.